This 240-nucleotide ribosomal RNA is filed under the name uncultured bacterium. RNAcentral describes it as "partial 16S ribosomal RNA". It matches the Rfam family "Bacterial small subunit ribosomal RNA", at positions 15 to 252 of the family's 1533-position model. The record is from RNAcentral.
GAUCAUGGCUCAGGAUGAACGCUAGCUGCAGGCUUAACACAUGCAAGUCGAGGGGCAGCAUUUUUCUAGCAAUAGAAGAGAUGGCGACCGGCGCACGGGUGAGUAACACGUAUCCAACCUACCGAUAACUCUGGAAUAGCCUUUCGAAAGAAAGAUUAAUACCGGAUAGUAUACGAAUAUCGCAUGAUAUUUUAUUAAAGAAUUUCGGUUAUCGAUGGGGAUGCGUUCCAUUAGUUUUGG